GGGUAAUUAGCUCAGUUGGUUUAGAGCACCAGCUCGACAAGCUGGGGGUCGCAGGUUCGAAUCCUGCAUUACCCA
RNAcentral lists this transfer RNA (75 nucleotides) under Fodinibius roseus. RNAcentral's name for it is "Aliifodinibius roseus tRNA". It matches the Rfam family "tRNA". From Rfam's summary of the family: Transfer RNA (tRNA) molecules are approximately 80 nucleotides in length. Their secondary structure includes four short double-helical elements and three loops (D, anti-codon, and T loops). The record is from Rfam by way of RNAcentral. Lineage: Bacteria; Pseudomonadati; Balneolota; Balneolia; Balneolales; Balneolaceae. RNAcentral also lists the same sequence under 1 other name.